UGCCCCAAGUAGUCUCCCUUUCCUCUCUGCUUUCUCCAGGAAAUCUUCACUAAAGUCAGCUAAACCCACCAACAUUUGCUAUCGAUGAUUUUUUUUUUAUUUUAGCUUUUGAGGAAACUGGGAAAGAGCCCUAGGACAUGGAAGAAUUGCCGUGCUGUAAACCAGAUGCCAGAUGAGAGCAAUCAGGAGGCAGUUCAUAGAUCUUUAUUUCUUUGAAGUCAUUUGCUGGAAUAUUAAUUGUGAUUGUUUGGUGGUGCCAUGCUUCCUUGAUUUUGUGGUGGUGUUUGAAGUCUUAUGUUGCUGUCUUCACAUCUGAAGAAACAGUCACAUCCUUCAGUCUAUUUACUGACUUUGGGAAAAUAAUGCAGUAAUAUAAAUUGCAAUGUCUUCUGUGGCCAUGGAAGAUUUAACAAGCCUUCAGCUUCCUCAUUUGUAGAAUUAGACCACCAGUUAUGAUUUGGACCUGACAAGAAAUGGAAUAUGCUAACCCCAAGUGUCGCCCAGUCAUUUCCCGUGGACAUACCAGAUACUGCCAAAUUUUACCUUUUACUUAUUUGCCAUUAAUCUAUGGAUUACCUGCUUUGUGGUAGUGGUGAUGCAGUGGUGCCUAAGGAUAUGGGAUAAGUUCUGCAGAAGCAUACAGUAGGAACAGAGCAAAGAGAUAAAGAGGAUCCUACAAAUUAACCAUAGAAUAUGAGAGAAAUGCCUGAGGGUCAGAUGGCAUUAAGAAUGAGGUAUAUGGAAGAAAUGUUCACCUGGGACAGAGAGAUACUCUGAUAGGUGAAGAAAAUCAAUCACAAGCAAGCUUUUGAGUUCGGAUCCUUUUUGUAUUGCACAUGACCUGGAGUGGGUCCCAGCUUCGUCACUUCUGUGAAAGAGCCAGCAACAGAAGCAGCAGUUCAGAUCAUCUAGUGCUGGAGCUGAGGGGGACUUACAUCAUUUCAGAAUGCUUCAGGGGCACAAUUUCAGCUUAUUGCAACUUCCACCUCCUGAGUUCAAGUGAUUCUCCUGCCUCAGCCUCCUGAGUAGCUGAAAUUACAGGCACCUGCCACCACACCCAGCUAACUUUUAUAUUUUUAGUAGGGACAGGGUUUCACCAUAUUGGCCAGGCUGGAACUCUUGACCUGAGAUGAUCCACCCGGACUGGGAUAACAGGCAUGAGCCACCAUACCUGGCCUGUAAAUACUCUUGAAGAACUACAUUAAUAAGAAGAUAAAUAAAUGAUGCUAAAGAGAAAGAUGCUAUGAGAGAUAUGAGGCACAAAUGAAUCAAGUAACUUAGAAAAUAUAUUGUCUAAAAAAGAAAGAAUAAAAAAUAAAACACAAAUGAACAAAAAAAAAAAGAAAGAAAAAGAAUGUGCAUAACCUAGAACUUGCAUUUUGUAUGAUAACAUCUGGGAAUUGGGGUUGACUGGAGAAACCAAAGAAGAUGAUAAUGUGCCAAAACAUUUAUCCUGCUUGGAAACAGAGAUAGGAUGAAUGAAUGGAUGGAUGGAUGGAUAGAUAGAUAGAUAGAUAGAUAGAUAGAUAGAUUGAUACAACUAAGAAAUUAAGAUAAAUCUUAAGUAGGCACAAAUGUCAGAAUGACAAAAUGGAAUUUAUAAACU
This 1606-nucleotide long non-coding RNA is filed under the name Callithrix jacchus (white-tufted-ear marmoset). RNAcentral describes it as "lncRNA (ENSCJAG00000067740.2)". The record is from RNAcentral. Lineage: Eukaryota; Metazoa; Chordata; Mammalia; Primates; Cebidae.